GGAUAACCAUUGGAAACGAUGGNUAAUACCGCAUAAUGCCUUCGGGCCAAAGAGGGGGAUCUUCGGACCUCUCGCGUCAAGAUUAGCCCAGGUGGGAUUAGCUAGUUGGUGAGGUAAUGGCUCACCAAGGCGACGAUCCCUAGCUGGUCUGAGAGGAUGAUCAGCCACACUGGAACUGAGACACGGUCCAGACUCCUACGGGAGGCAGCAGUGGGGAAUAUUGCACAAUGGGCGCAAGCCUGAUGCAGCCAUGCCGCGUGUGUGAAGAAGGCCUUCGGGUUGUAAAGCACUUUCAGUCGUGAGGAAGGUGGUGUAGUUAAUAGCUGCAUCAUUUGACGUUAGCGACAGAAGAAGCACCGGCUAACUCCGUGCCAGCAGCCGCGGUAAUACGGAGGGUGCGAGCGUUAAUCGGAAUUACUGGGCGUAAAGCGCAUGCAGGUGGUUAGUUAAGUCANAUGUGAAAGCCCGGGGCUCAACCUCGGAACUGCAUUUGAAACUGGCUGACUAGAGUACUGUAGAGGGGGGUAGAANNUCAGGUGUANCGGUGAAAUGCGUAGAGAUCUGAAGGAAUACCGGUGGCGAAG
RNAcentral lists this ribosomal RNA (584 nucleotides) under Vibrio sp. KR08-34. Its description in RNAcentral is "bacterial SSU rRNA". It matches the Rfam family "Bacterial small subunit ribosomal RNA", at positions 141 to 720 of the family's 1533-position model. Lineage: Bacteria; Pseudomonadati; Pseudomonadota; Gammaproteobacteria; Vibrionales; Vibrionaceae. The record is from RNAcentral.